Molecule: non-coding RNA, 30 nt
Filed under: Mus musculus (house mouse)
Lineage: Eukaryota; Metazoa; Chordata; Mammalia; Rodentia; Muridae
Source: RNAcentral
UCCCCUAGGUUCUCAGACCCUUCUGGAGUC